UACGGGGGGGGCAAGCGUUGUUCGGAAUUACUGGGCGUAAAGGGCUCGUAGGCGGUUUGUUGCGUCGGCUGUGAAAUCCCGAGGCUCAACCUCGGGUCUGCAGUCGAUACGAGCAAACUAGAGUGUUGCAGGGGAGACCGGAAUUCCUGGUGUAGCGGUGAAAUGCGCAGAUAUCAGGAGGAACACCGGUGGCGAAGGCGGGUCUCUGGGCAACAACUGACGCUGAGGAGCGAAAGCGUGGGGAGCGAACAGG
RNAcentral lists this ribosomal RNA (253 nucleotides) under uncultured bacterium. RNAcentral's name for it is "partial 16S ribosomal RNA". It matches the Rfam family "Bacterial small subunit ribosomal RNA", at positions 524 to 776 of the family's 1533-position model. The record is from RNAcentral.